Molecule: unclassified non-coding RNA, 376 nt
Filed under: uncultured bacterium
Lineage: Bacteria
Description: contains 16S-23S intergenic spacer region
Source: RNAcentral
UCCGGUUUGUCACCGGCAGUCCCAUUAGAGUGCCCAACUUAAUGUGGCAACUAAUGGCAAGGGUUGCGCUCGUUGCGGGACUUAACCCAACAUCUCACGACACGAGCUGACGACGGCCAUGCAGCACCUGUCACUUGGCUCCUUGCGGCACUCCACCGUUUCCAGCGGAUCCCAAGGAUGUCAAGCCUCGGUAAGGUUCUACGCGUAGCGUCAUAUUAAACCACAUCCUCCUCUGCUUGUGCGGGUCCCCGUCAAUUCCUUUGAGUUUUAGCCUUGCGGCCGUACUUCCCAGGCGGCAUACUUAUCGCGUUAGCUUCGACGCACAGGGGGUCGAUACCCCAUACGUCUAGUAUGCAUCGUUUACGGCGUGGACUAC